RNAcentral lists this ribosomal RNA (468 nucleotides) under uncultured bacterium. RNAcentral describes it as "partial 16S ribosomal RNA". It matches the Rfam family "Bacterial small subunit ribosomal RNA", at positions 28 to 507 of the family's 1533-position model. The record is from RNAcentral.
GACGAACGCUGGCGGCGUGCUUAACACAUGCAAGUCGAACGGAAAGGCCCUGCUUUUGUGGGGUGCUCGAGUGGCGAACGGGUGAGUAACACGUGAGUAACCUGCCCUUGACGUUGGGAUAACUUCAGGAAACUGGGGCUAAUACCGGAUAGGAGCUCCUGCUGCAUGGUGGGGGUUGGAAAGUUUCGGCGGUUGGGGAUGUACUCGCGGCUUAUCAGCUUGUUGGUGGGGUAGUGGCUUACCAAGGCUUUGACGGGUAGCCGGCCUGGGAGGGUGACCGGCCACAUUGGGACUGCGAUACGGCCCAGACUCCUACGGGAGGCAGCAGUCGGGAAUACUGCACAAUGGGCGGACGCCUGAGGCAGAAACGCCGCGUGCGGGAUGACGGCCUUCGGGUUGUAAACCGCUUUAGCCUGUGACGAAGCGUGAGUGACGGUAAUGGGUAAAGAAGCACCGGCUAACUACGUG